Molecule: long non-coding RNA, 1060 nt
Filed under: Equus caballus (horse)
Lineage: Eukaryota; Metazoa; Chordata; Mammalia; Perissodactyla; Equidae
Description: lncRNA (ENSECAG00000054289.1)
Source: RNAcentral
GUUGCAAGGUGGUGAAAACACACUUGGCACCUUUCUGCGUGAGAUCUGUCCUAGAGACAGUUUAUCACAUGGUAAACGAGCGUUGGCUCUGGGACUCAGUGACACUGCCUACGUGGCUGUGGUAAAAAGACUACAACACAGACAAGACCUUGGAACUGGACCUGCUAACUGGGGCCUCCAGAAGGGGAAGAAAGCCUUAACACAACACCUGGAAUCCAUCUGUGGGCAUCUGGGCUCAGACUUGCAGAGGUAACGUCAGCAAGGAGCCUGGCUGAACGAGCAAAUUGGGAAUUUAAUGCUGCUGCUUGCUGAUCAUUCUCUCUGCUUUAGGACACCCUCCUUCUCCUCAUAAUUAACGAGGAUCUGUCGUGUCCUGGCCUCUCAGGGAUAUGGACAUGUCCUCUGCCAGGUGACAGCUGGGGAAUCUCCUAACGUCUUACAUUCUAUUAGGGGCACUUGAAGACAGUAUCUCAACUCAAAAGAGUGCCUCCCACCAUAGGAUUCCAGGCACUGGCUCAGAGGGACUCAACUCUGGCUGCAGUCAUGGUGAACUACAUUUCUGCAUUCUGGAAAAUCUGAUGAACUGGUGUCAGUAUUUAAACUGAUUUCCAUACCUGUAAGUGGCUCGUAAGACAGAAAUAAAGUGAAGAAGUUACGAGGCUAUACAAGCUUUAAGAAUGCAGGAGUCUUGCCCAUCUCGUUCACCGCAGUAUCUCCAGCUCCUGGCACGGAGGCUGGCCCAUAGUAGGUGCUCAUUAAAAAUGUGCUGACUGAAGGGUGGUCUGAUGUCACAGACUGCAGAAAGUUCCCCCAAAGGAAGAACUUAAUUUAUCUAAGGCAUUUCACAAAUCGUGGUAAUUGGGGAAUUAGAAAUGGCAUUUUAUUAAUUUUGGUGACUAGCUCAAUAACUGAACUAAUUUAUUCUAGAUGACUGAGCUAACUUAUCCCAGGUAGAAUUAUUCAUUAUUCCUCUCGCCGUCACCUACCCUUUGCUAACUGUUUAGAAGCCACGCAUCACUAGCAGUCCGAGAGGAGGCAAGCUGGAAGCUAAGCAAAAGAG